AGAGAGAGAGAGAGAGAGAGAGAUGGGUAUAGAUGGUUUAGAGAGAGAGAGAGAGAGAGAGCUGGGUAUAGAUGGUUUAGAGAGAGAGAGAGUUGGGUAUAGAUGGUUUAGAGAGAGAGAGAGAGAGAGAGAGAGAGCUGGGUAUAGAUGGUUUAGAGAGAGAGAGAGAGAGCUGGGUAUAGAUGAGAGAGAGAGAGAGAGAGAGCUGGGUAUAGAUGGUUUAGAGAGAGAGAGAGAGAGAGAGAGAGCUGGGUAUAGAUGGUUUAGAGAGAGAGAGAGAGAGGCUGGGUAUAGAUGAGAGAGAGAGAGAGAGCUGGGUAUAGAUGGUUUAGAGAGAGAGAGAGAGCUGGGUAUAGAUGGUUUAGAGAGAGAGAGAGAGCUGGGUAUAGAUGGUUUAGAGAGAGAGAGAGCUGGGUAUAGAUGGUUUAGAGAGAGAGAGAGAGCUGGGUAUAGAUGGUUUAGAGAGAGAGAGAGCUGGGUAUAGAUGAGAGAGAGAGAGAGAGCUGGGUAUAGAUGGUUUAGAGAGAGAGAGCUGGGUAUAGAUGGUUUAGAGAGAGAGAGAGCUGGGUAUAGAUGGUUUAGAGAGAGAGAGCUGGGUAUAGAUGGUUUAGAGAGAGAGAGAGAGAGAGAGCUGGGUAUAGAUGGUUUAGAGAGAGAGAGAGAGAGAGCUGGGUAUAGAUGGUUUAGAGAGAGAGAGAGAGAGAGAGCUGGGUAUAGAUGGUUUAGAGAGAGAGAGCUGGGUAUAGAUGGUUUAGAGAGAGAGAGCUGGGUAUAGAUGGUUUAGAGAGAGAGAGAGAGCUGGGUAUAGAUGGUUUAGAGAGAGAGAAUGAGAGAGAGCUGGGUAUAGAUGGUUUAGAGAGAGAGAGAGCUGGGUAUAGAUGGUUUAGAGAGAGAGAGAGAGAGCUGGGUAUAGAUGGUUUAGAGAGAGAGAGAGAGCUGGGUAUAGAUGGUUUAGAGAGAGAGAGAGAGCUGGGUAUAGAUGGUUUAGAGAGAGAGAGAUUUGUGAAUCAUUUUCAUUAAGAUUCUACCUACUUUGCACAAGUCAUAUAGAGCAAUAUACACUGAGUAAACAAAACAUUAAGAACACCUGCUCUUUCCAUGACAUAGACUGACCAGGUGAAUCCAGGUGAAAAGCUAUGAUUCCCUUAUUGAUGCCAAGUCUUA
Molecule: long non-coding RNA, 1164 nt
Filed under: Salmo salar (Atlantic salmon)
Lineage: Eukaryota; Metazoa; Chordata; Actinopteri; Salmoniformes; Salmonidae
Description: lncRNA (ENSSSAG00000114202.1)
Source: RNAcentral